RNAcentral lists this ribosomal RNA (548 nucleotides) under uncultured bacterium. RNAcentral's name for it is "bacterial SSU rRNA". It matches the Rfam family "Bacterial small subunit ribosomal RNA", at positions 355 to 896 of the family's 1533-position model. The record is from RNAcentral.
UGGGGAAUUUUGGACAAUGGGCGAAAGCCUGAUCCAGCAAUGCCGCGUGCAGGACGAAGGCCUUCGGGUUGUAAACUGCUUUUGUACGGAACGAAAAGAUACUGGCUAAUACCUGGUAUUGAUGACGGUACCGUAAGAAUAAGCACCGGCUAACUACGUGCCAGCAGCCGCGGUAAUACGUAGGGUGCGAGCGUUAAUCGGAAUUACUGGGCGUAAAGCGUGCGCAGGCGGUUUUGUAAGACAGAGGUGAAAUCCCCGGGCUCAACCUGGGGACUGCCUUUGUGACUGCAAGGCUAGAGUGCGGCAGAGGGGGAUGGAAUUCCGCGUGUAGCAGUGAAAUGCGUAGAUAUGCGGAGGAACACCGAUGGCGAAGGCAAUCCCCUGGGCCUGCACUGACGCUCAUGCACGAAAGCGUGGGGAGCAAACAGGAUUAGAUACCCUGGUAGUCCACGCCCUAAACGAUGUCAACUGGUUGUUGGGUCUUAACUGACUCAGUAACGAAGCUAACGCGUGAAGUUGACCGCCUGGGGAGUACGGCCGCAAGGUUG